RNAcentral lists this ribosomal RNA (378 nucleotides) under Triticum aestivum (bread wheat). RNAcentral describes it as "partial small subunit ribosomal RNA". The record is from RNAcentral. Lineage: Eukaryota; Viridiplantae; Streptophyta; Magnoliopsida; Poales; Poaceae.
AUGCAUCCAGCAAGAAAAGUGGCUUACAUCUAUGCGGCCACAGGCAGGAGAUUUCUUGGAUGCCCUCUCUCGGGAGCUGAUAGGUGCCCCUGGUUUUUGUGGAUUGAUGAAGCAUGGGGUCAUGUACUUAGCCGUUCACUAAUGCAACUCUGGGAUCAGGCUCGUCUGGACUCUAAAAGAGCAGCAAUGUUGGAGACUAAGAAAAAGGAAAUGGAGCAGGCAUACUUAGAGUUGUGGGCUGAGAGAACCAAUCUGGAGAUUCAACACGAGCAGGUGGUCAACAAGUUGAAGAACACAAUAAUGGACACUGAGAUUAAGAUGUCAAGGAGGUUAGCUGAAGACCAAUUCCAACAUAUUUUGUACUGUUCACACUUUUGA